UACGUAGGGUGCGAGCGUUAAUCGGAAUUACUGGGCGUAAAGCGUGCGCAGGCGUUGAUGUAAGACAGGUGUGAAAUCCCCGGGCUUAACCUGGGAACUGCAUUUGUGACUGCAUCGCUGGAGUGCGGCAGAGGGGGAUGGAAUUCCGCGUGUAGCAGUGAAAUGCGUAGAUAUCAGGAGGAAUACCGAUGGCGAAGGCAGGUCUCUGGGCUGACACUGACGCUCAUGCACGAAAGCGUGGGGAGCAAACAGG
RNAcentral lists this ribosomal RNA (253 nucleotides) under uncultured bacterium. RNAcentral describes it as "partial 16S ribosomal RNA". It matches the Rfam family "Bacterial small subunit ribosomal RNA", at positions 524 to 776 of the family's 1533-position model. The record is from RNAcentral.